UGCAAAAGAAGUAGGUAGCUUAACCUUCGGGAGGGCGCUUACCACUUUGUGAUUCAUGACUGGGGUGAAGUCGUAACAAGGUAACCGUAGGGGAACCUGCGGUUGGAUCACCUCCUUACCUUAAAGA
RNAcentral lists this ribosomal RNA (127 nucleotides) under Klebsiella pneumoniae. RNAcentral describes it as "partial 16S ribosomal RNA". It matches the Rfam family "Bacterial small subunit ribosomal RNA", at positions 1416 to 1533 of the family's 1533-position model. Lineage: Bacteria; Pseudomonadati; Pseudomonadota; Gammaproteobacteria; Enterobacterales; Enterobacteriaceae. The record is from RNAcentral.